AUUGAACGCUGGCGGCAUGCCUUACACAUGCAAGUCGAACGGCAGCACGGGUGCUUGCACCUGGUGGCGAGUGGCGAACGGGUGAGUAAUACAUCGGAACAUGUCCUGUAGUGGGGGAUAGCCCGGCGAAAGCCGGAUUAAUACCGCAUACGAUCCACGGAUGAAAGCGGGGGACCUUCGGGCCUCGCGCUAUAGGGUUGGCCGAUGGCUGAUUAGCUAGUUGGUGGGGUAAAGGCCUACCAAGGCGACGAUCAGUAGCUGGUCUGAGAGGACGACCAGCCACACUGGGACUGAGACACGGCCCAGACUCCUACGGGAGGCAGCAGUGGGGAAUUUUGGACAGUGGGCGAAAGCCUGAUCCAGCAAUGCCGCGUGUGUGAAGAAGGCCUUCGGGUUGUAAAGCACUUUUGUCCGGAAAGAAAUCCUUGACUCUAAUACAGUCGGGGGAUGACGGUACCGGAAGAAUAAGCACCGGCUAACUACGUG
This 486-nucleotide ribosomal RNA is filed under the name uncultured bacterium. RNAcentral describes it as "partial 16S ribosomal RNA". It matches the Rfam family "Bacterial small subunit ribosomal RNA", at positions 30 to 507 of the family's 1533-position model. The record is from RNAcentral.